Long non-coding RNA from Cylas formicarius (sweet potato weevil), 1569 nucleotides. RefSeq lists it as uncharacterized. The record is from RefSeq and is a predicted model, not a curated record. The transcript has 6 exons. Lineage: Eukaryota; Metazoa; Arthropoda; Insecta; Coleoptera; Brentidae.
GAGACCAGAAAGUUUUCGAAACUGCGUGAGUGGAAGUCUGCGUUGGACAAAUUUUGAAAAUAUCUGAAGGUUUAACGAAUUUUGGAGAAUUCGACAGAGCUACAGACUACGAAACCUUUCGAAACGAACACACGUGUCCUGUUGAACUUGAAAAAAGACGAAAUUAUUUUUAAAAAGAUCAUGGUAACUCGUGAAGCAACAUCUCAGAAUUGAAUCGGGGAACGAGGAAUCAAAAAAAGGUUAACAAUUUGGAUCAUUUUGGAAGAUACAUACGCCGCGCUUUUCAAAGCGGACAGACGUGCCCUUGUCCAACUGAAACGAACACACGUGUCCUGUUGAACUUGAAAAAAGACGAAAUUAUUUUAAAAAGAUCAUGGUAACUCGUGAAGCAACAUCUCAGAAUUGAAUCGGGGAGUUGUGUAUUUGCUGGCAAUCCGGGCCUGCUUGGAUCAUUUUGGAAGAUACAUACGCCUGCGCUUUUCAAAGCGGACAGACGUGCCCGUGUCCCACUUGACAAAGGCGGAAUUAUUUUAGGAAAGACCAUGGCAACUAGUAAAGCAGAAUCCGAGAAUUCAAUCGGCGGCUGUAUGUUGACUGACAAGAAUAUAAUUGCUGUUAAUCCGGCCCUGCUUCUUGUACAAAUGCAUAGUGGGGAGACAUGAACAUUUUUCGAAAUUGCGGCCCUAUCCUCUUGGGAUUCUACGUUGGACAAAUUCUGAAAACGACCCAGAAAUAUAAUUGGAGGUUCAAACCCGUGCGAGGUGAGGUUUGAUAUAUGAAACAGACCAGUCAUGGGGACACGAGAUAUGGAAAGUUUCAGCGUAGUCGUCGCCACAUUGCUGCCAACACUGCAUAUAUAAGGAAUCACGAACCAUUCAGGUAAAAUUUUGAAAACACAUAGUUAUGGCAAUAUAGAACCUCUCUUUUUUUAACAGGAAUAUUGAGACUUAGACCAGUAUCUUUUAAGUAGGCAUGUGGGGUAAAGAAGACGCAGAAGCUUCAGUCGGGUACCAUCGGUAACGUAGGCGAUUGAUAUAUUUCCACCACUACCUAUGUUGGAUUGGAAUUUCCCAUUUGAUGCUUUGACUGACUAAAUGAGGAAACUUGGAGAUAUUAUUGGUGGUGCCUGCCAGCUUCCAGUUCCGAGAAAAGAAAUCCAACACUUUUCGUCUUUAUUUCCCCUGUCCUUUGUGCGCAAUAAAAGUACAGUUUGUACCCGCGUGGGUACACAUUCGCAGAAUUAUAUGUUUUUAAAAUAAAUGUUUUGGUCAAUAUUCACUAGGUGGGGUUACCUUAUUAAAGAAAAUCUUAUUCCAAGAGGGGACACUAGUUUACAUUCGAACCGCUAGAGGGUGCAGAUGGUCACGCGAACAAUAUGAUCAAGUCUCAUUGACGCCAUUGCUUUUCUUAGGGGUGGGAAAAUAUCUGGGCUCUGAUUGGCUUCGCCGCCAUCGCAAACUAGAGGUGGGGAGAUUGAUUAAACCGCAUUUCUGGUUGCUUAUCCAAUGGGGACCAGUUUCAAGGGAUUAUGGGUAAAGGCGGAGGAGCUAGAGAGUCGUGGGGAAGGAG